GAUCAUGGCUCAGGAUGAACGCUAGCUACAGGCUUAACACAUGCAAGUCGAGGGGCAGCAUGGUCUUAGCUUGCUAAGGCCGAUGGCGACCGGCGCACGGGUGAGUAACACGUACCCAACCUGCCGUCUACUCUUGGACAGCCUUCUGAAAGGAAGAUUAAUACAAGAUGGCAUCAUGAGUUCACAUGUUCACAUGAUUAAAGGUAUUCCGGUAGACGGUGGGG
This 224-nucleotide ribosomal RNA is filed under the name uncultured bacterium. RNAcentral describes it as "partial 16S ribosomal RNA". It matches the Rfam family "Bacterial small subunit ribosomal RNA", at positions 15 to 230 of the family's 1533-position model. The record is from RNAcentral.